ACUCUAGGCUGCAACUGUGAAGAGACAUGAGAGGUGUAGGAUAAGUGGGAGGCCCCCGCGCUCACCGCAAAGGGGCGCCGCCGGGGAAAUACCACUACUCUUAUAGUUUUUUCACUUACCCAGUGGGGCGGGGGGCAAGCCCCAAGGGGCUCUCGCUUCUGGACCCAAGCAUCUGGCCCCGCUCCGAGGACAGUGGCAGGUGGGGAGUUUGACUGGGGCGGUACACCUGUCAAACCGUAAGUCCUAAGGCGAGCUCAGGGAAGACAGAAACCUCCCAUGGAGCAGAAGGGCAAAGGGUUUUUAGUAAGUUCUGACCAGGGAACCCAGGUUUUAUCCAAUCAGCAGACACUUUUUGCACAACUUCAGCUAUUGG
Xenopus tropicalis (tropical clawed frog) is the source of this 373-nucleotide non-coding RNA. The record is from Rfam. NCBI's taxonomy places the organism in Eukaryota, Metazoa, Chordata, Amphibia, Anura, Pipidae.